GAGGGGGCAAGCGUUGUUCGGAAUUACUGGGCGUAAAGGGCGCGUAGGCGGCCUGUUAAGUCGAACGUGAAAUCCCCGGGCUCAACCCGGGAACUGCGUCCGAUACUGGCAGGCUCGAAUCCGGGAGAGGGAUGUGGAAUUCCAGGUGUAGCGGUGAAAUGCGUAGAUAUCUGGAGGAACACCGGUGGCGAAGGCGGCAUCCUGGACCGGUAUUGAUGCUGAGGCGCGAAAGCCAGGGGAGCAAACGGGAUUAGAUACCCCGGUAGUCCUGGCCCUAAACGAUGAAUGCUUGGUGUGGCGGGUAUCGAUCCCUGCCGUGCCGAAGCCAACGCAUUAAGCAUUCCGCCUGGGGAGUACGGUCGCAAGGCUG
RNAcentral lists this ribosomal RNA (370 nucleotides) under uncultured organism. RNAcentral's name for it is "bacterial SSU rRNA". It matches the Rfam family "Bacterial small subunit ribosomal RNA", at positions 528 to 896 of the family's 1533-position model. The record is from RNAcentral.